AGCCGGUUCUCAUGCAACGGAAUUUUGUGAACCCCGUCAGGUCCGGAAGGAAGCAGCGGUAAGCAAACCCUUUCGUGUGACGUGAGCCCCACCGGCUGCU
This 100-nucleotide signal recognition particle RNA is filed under the name Clostridia bacterium. RNAcentral's name for it is "signal recognition particle sRNA small type". It matches the Rfam family "Bacterial small signal recognition particle RNA". Rfam says of the family: The signal recognition particle (SRP) is a universally conserved ribonucleoprotein involved in the co-translational targeting of proteins to membranes. Archaeal SRP consists of a 7S RNA and homologues of the eukaryotic SRP19 and SRP54 proteins. In most bacteria, the SRP consists of a 4.5S RNA and the Ffh protein (a homologue of the eukaryotic SRP54 protein). The record is from RNAcentral. Lineage: Bacteria; Bacillati; Bacillota; Clostridia.